Molecule: ribosomal RNA, 538 nt
Filed under: uncultured bacterium
Lineage: Bacteria
Description: bacterial SSU rRNA
Rfam family: Bacterial small subunit ribosomal RNA
Source: RNAcentral
AGAGUUUGAUCCUGGCUCAGAAUCAACGCUGGCGGCGUGCCUAACACAUGCAAGUCGAACGCGAAAGGGGAGCAAUCCCUGAGUAGAGUGGCAAACGGGUGAGUAACACGUGGGUGACCUGCCUUCGAGUGGGGGAUAACGUCCCGAAAGGGACGCUAAUACCGCAUGACAUCCUGCUUUUGGAAAAGCGGAGAUCAAAGCCGGGGAUCGCAAGACCUGGCGCUUGAAGAGGGGCCCGCGCCUGAUUAGCUAGUUGGUGGGGUAAUGGCUCACCAAGGCGACGAUCAGUAUCCGGCCUGAGAGGGCGGACGGACACACUGGGACUGAGACACGGCCCAGACUCCUACGGGAGGCAGCAGUGGGGAAUCUUGCGCAAUGCGCGAAAGCGUGACGCAGCAACGCCGCGUGGAGGAAGACGGUCUUCGGAUUGUAAACUCCUUUCAGUUGGGACGAAGCUCAACGGGUUAAUAGCCCGGUGGAGUGACGGUACCUUCAGAAGAAGCCCCGGCUAACUACGUGCCAGCAGCGGCGGUAAUAC